UGGGGAUACAACCUCCUACAGAAAGGAACUUCUGCAUGGCUUCUUGGUAGAUUUUUCCUUAGAACCCACAACAACUUGACUACAAAUAGAACAA
Molecule: long non-coding RNA, 94 nt
Filed under: Anas zonorhyncha (Eastern spot-billed duck)
Lineage: Eukaryota; Metazoa; Chordata; Aves; Anseriformes; Anatidae
Description: lncRNA (ENSAZOG00000015548.1)
Source: RNAcentral